RNAcentral lists this ribosomal RNA (520 nucleotides) under uncultured Glomus. RNAcentral's name for it is "SSU rRNA". It matches the Rfam family "Eukaryotic small subunit ribosomal RNA", at positions 569 to 1082 of the family's 1831-position model. The record is from RNAcentral. Lineage: Eukaryota; Fungi; Glomeromycota; Glomeromycetes; Glomerales; Glomeraceae.
AGCAGCCGCGGUAAUUCCAGCUCCAAUAGCGUAUAUUAAAAUUGUUGCAGUUAAAAAGCUCGUAGUUGAAUUUCGGGAUCAAUACGUCGGUCGUGCUUAGGUACGUACUGGCGUAAUUGAUUUCUCCCUUCUGACGAACCAUGAUGUCAUUAACUUGGUGUCAUGGGAAAUCAGGACUGUUACUUUGAAAAAAUUAGAGUGUUUAAAGCAGGCUCACGCUUGAAUACAUUAGCAUGGAAUAAUGAAAUAGGACGUUCGAUCCUAUUUUGUUGGUUUUUAGGAUCAACGUAAUGAUUAAUAGGGAUAGUUGGGGGCAUUAGUAUUCAAUUGUCAGAGGUGAAAUUCUUGGAUUUAUUGAAGACUUAACUACUGCGAAAGCAAUUUGCCAAGGAUUGUUUUCAUUAAUCAAAGAACGAAAGUUAGGGGAUCGAAGACGAUCAAGAUACCGUGUAGUCUUAAUCAAUAAACUAUGACCGACUAGGGAUCGGAUGUAUUGUUAAAUUUUUAANGUACUCAUUCG